RNAcentral lists this ribosomal RNA (661 nucleotides) under uncultured Bacteroidales bacterium. Its description in RNAcentral is "bacterial SSU rRNA". It matches the Rfam family "Bacterial small subunit ribosomal RNA", at positions 63 to 721 of the family's 1533-position model. Lineage: Bacteria; Pseudomonadati; Bacteroidota; Bacteroidia; Bacteroidales. The record is from RNAcentral.
CAUGGUCUUAGCUUGCUAAGGCUGAUGGCGACCGGCGCACGGGUGAGUAACACGUAUCCAACCUGCCGUCUACUCUUGGCCAGCCUUCUGAAAGGAAGAUUAAUCCAGGAUGGGAUCAUGAGUUCACAUGUCCGCAUGAUUAAAGGUAUUUUCCGGUAGACGAUGGGGAUGCGUUCCAUUAGAUAGUAGGCGGGGUAACGGCCCACCUAGUCAACGAUGGAUAGGGGUUCUGAGAGGAAGGUCCCCCACAUUGGAACUGAGACACGGUCCAAACUCCUACGGGAGGCAGCAGUGAGGAAUAUUGGUCAAUGGGCGAUGGCCUGAACCAGCCAAGUAGCGUGAAGGAUGACUGCCCUAUGGGUUGUAAACUUCUUUUAUAAAGGAAUAAAGUCGGGUAUGCAUACCCGUUUGCAUGUACUUUAUGAAUAAGGAUCGGCUAACUCCGUGCCAGCAGCCGCGGUAAUACGGAGGAUCCGAGCGUUAUCCGGAUUUAUUGGGUUUAAAGGGAGCGUAGAUGGAUGUUUAAGUCAGUUGUGAAAGUUUGCGGCUCAACCGUAAAAUUGCAGUUGAUACUGGAUGUCUUGAGUGCAGUUGAGGCAGGCGGAAUUCGUGGUGUAGCGGUGAAAUGCUUAGAUAUCACGAAGAACUCCGAUUGCGAAGG